This 424-nucleotide ribosomal RNA is filed under the name Verrucomicrobiota bacterium. RNAcentral describes it as "Verrucomicrobia bacterium partial 16S ribosomal RNA". It matches the Rfam family "Bacterial small subunit ribosomal RNA", at positions 355 to 776 of the family's 1533-position model. Lineage: Bacteria; Pseudomonadati; Verrucomicrobiota. The record is from RNAcentral.
UGAGGAAUAUUGGUCAAUGGACGAGAGUCUGAACCAGCCAAGUAGCGUGCAGGAUGACGGCCCUAUGGGUUGUAAACUGCUUUUGUUUGGGAAUAAUCGACAUUACGUGUAAUGUUUUGCAUGUACCAUUCGAAUAAGGACCGGCUAAUUCCGUGCCAGCAGCCGCGGUAAUACGGAAGGUCCAGGCGUUAUCCGGAUUUAUUGGGUUUAAAGGGAGUGUAGGCGGUUGGUUAAGCGUGUUGUGAAAUGUAGAUGCUCAACAUCUGACUUGCAGCGCGAACUGGCUGACUUGAGUACACACAACGUAGGCGGAAUUCAUGGUGUAGCGGUGAAAUGCGUAGAUAUUGGGAGGAACACCAGUAGCGAAGGCGGCUUUCUGGCCUGAAACUGACACUGAGGCACGAAAGCGUGGGUAGCAAACAGG